CAAUAGCGUAUAUUUAAGUUGUUGCAGUUAAAAAGCUCGUAGUUGGAUUUCGGAUGGGAUUUGCCGGUCCGUCGUUACGAUGUGCACUGGCCAGUCCUAUCUUGUUGUCGGGGACUAGCUCCUUGGAUUCACUUCCUGGGACUAGGAGCUGACGAGGUUACUUUGAGUAAAUUAGAGUGUUCAAAGCAAGCCUACGCUCUGAAUACAUUAGCAUGGAAUAACACGAUAGGACUCUGGCUUAUCUUGUUGGUCUGUGAGACCAGAGUAAUGAUUAAGAGGGACAGUCGGGGACAUUCGUAUUUCAUUGUCAGAGGUGAAAUUCUUGGAUUUAUGAAAGACGAACUUCUGCGAAAACAUUUGUCAAGGAUGUUUUCAUUAA
Molecule: ribosomal RNA, 379 nt
Filed under: uncultured eukaryote
Lineage: Eukaryota
Description: partial 18S ribosomal RNA
Rfam family: Eukaryotic small subunit ribosomal RNA
Source: RNAcentral